CUUAACCUCGGAAUUGCAGUCGAUACUGCUGUGACUCGAGUCCGGUAGAGGAGAAUGGAAUUCUCGGUGUAGCGGUGAAAUGCGCAGAUAUCGAGAGGAACACCAGUAGCGAAGGCGGUUCUCUGGGCCGGCACUGACGCUGAGGAGCGAAAGCGUGGGGAGCAAACAGGAUUAGAUACCCUGGUAGUCCACGCCGUAAACGUUGGAUACUAGGUGUGGCGGUUGUACCAACGACUGCCGUGCCGAAGCUAACGCAUUAAGUAUCCCGCCUGGGGAGUACGGCCGCAAGGCUAAAACUCAAAGGAAUUGACGGGUCCCCGCACAAGCGGCGGAGCAUGCGGCUUAAUUCGAUGCAACCCGAAGAACCUUACCUGGGUUUGACAUCACGGGAAAAACUGUAGAAAUACAGUGUCCGUAAGGGCCC
RNAcentral lists this ribosomal RNA (424 nucleotides) under uncultured Actinomycetes bacterium. Its description in RNAcentral is "bacterial SSU rRNA". It matches the Rfam family "Bacterial small subunit ribosomal RNA", at positions 608 to 1029 of the family's 1533-position model. The record is from RNAcentral. Lineage: Bacteria; Bacillati; Actinomycetota; Actinomycetes.